RNAcentral lists this long non-coding RNA (1128 nucleotides) under Equus caballus (horse). RNAcentral describes it as "lncRNA (ENSECAG00000059414.1)". Lineage: Eukaryota; Metazoa; Chordata; Mammalia; Perissodactyla; Equidae. The record is from RNAcentral.
AUCAUUAGCAAUGUGGCUUGAUGUGAACAGGAUUUGGGAAGGACUGGUGAGAGCAGUGGUUACCAGGCCUGGAGCAAGGUUAGAAUUACUUGGGGAGGCAGAUUUCCAGGCUGCCCCUAGGUUCAUGGAGUGAAAUUCUUUGGCUCCAGGGGCCAGGAAAUAUGCUCAUAAGCUUCUUAGGUGACUCUGAUGUUCUUGGUCUACAGAUCAAGGUUCGAAGCCUCUGGCCUAGGGCAUGGGCUUUGGGAUGAGAUAUGCCUGCUUCAAAUCGUGGUUCUGUCGCUCGUUGCUAUGAAAGUUAUAUCAACUCUUUGAACCUCUGUAAAAUGAAGACAAAAACACCUACGUCAUGCAGAGGGGAACUUCAUAGCACAACACCUGAUCCAAAGGAGCACUGAAUAAGUCGUGGUUAUUGCUAUUGUUUACGCUUACUGGUACUUUAACGACUAGAGUUCCCACAGGUGCCAAGGCCCAUCCCGUUCCUGUGUUUCUUUGUUAAUCCAGGUUCAGGCUACUGAACAACUCUCCUGGGCCGUGUGUAUUUAGCAGUUUGGGCCACUCCAGAGACGGAUUUGCACUUACACCUCUACUGUCCACCUCCAGGGGCACAGAUUCUCAAUUUUAGAGCCCAGCCUGUGACCACAGGGAGAGAAUAAUGCUAACUCGCUCGCCCAUGAGCUGACCACAGCUUUAUUCAGUGCCUGAGCCCACGCAGCUGUGACUAAUCUUGAUGAAGGGCGUGGUAGCACUCAGUCUAUUCCACAGGUUACUGACGCUGAUGAUAUCAUAUUCUGGAGUAAAAGGCUUUACAUUUUUAGCCUACAAUUUUGAGUCCACAUUAUUUCGAUCAAAGCAAGAUCAGCCUGGAGAAAGGAAAGUAACAUCAACAUGGAGGAAGCACCAGCUCCACAGAGGAAAUGCAAAUCAGCGUGCAGUAAAUUUUAAUGAAAUGAUCAUCGUGAAUGAUUACAGACUCAAUGGAGAAAAGAAAACCCCAGAAACCUUUGUCUGUUCGUGCAGAAGCUUAGGGACAACCAUCUUUUAUAGUUUAAAUCUAUUCCUAGAUAUGCCACCUGUCUUCUUGCCACACUUUUAAAAAGUGUAUACAUUUUUCUCAAAAGUUGUUCU